Molecule: long non-coding RNA, 659 nt
Organism: Chiroxiphia lanceolata (lance-tailed manakin)
Lineage: Eukaryota; Metazoa; Chordata; Aves; Passeriformes; Pipridae
Exons: 3
Source: RefSeq, a predicted model, not a curated record
AAGAUCACUGGAGAAGUGCCAGUCAUAAUCUUCCCCUUAUUGAUUCUGGUCAGCAGCUAUUGACAGCUUUAAAAAGAUUAUGUUUUAAUUGGGGAUCAGAUAGAUGGCAUUUUAAGAGUAGUCAAAGCUAUCUUGCAGUAUUUGGAACAAAUCUCAAGCAAUACAUUUCAGGCUCAAGACAGAAAAAACUACAGCCUCCCUGAAAACUUCUGCAUUUGUGGAACCAGCUCUGUGUCCCAUCCCCUUGGCAGCCUGUCACAGCUCAGAGGACAUCUGAAGGCUACUGAGAAUCACAAGAAUACUCUUACAUCCUAAGAAUUCUUUGCUUCUGCAAUAGCUUGAGGGUGCCAGAGUCGCUGUGGAUGGCUGCAUUAAACCUUGACACUGCCCAUGGUUACCAGCAGAUCUUGUCAGCAAAACAUCCUAAGAGCAGCGUGCAUGUAGCUUGUCAUAUUAGAGAGAAAACAUUCCUCUUAGCCCCAUGUGAGGGAUCUAUAUUUGCAUUCAUCCUGCCUAGAUCUGAGAUUUUUACAUGGAAUCAUGUGAAGCUGCAAUUAAAACCAGAAGCUUGGCUCCCUUUUCAGGUUUUUACUCAGUAAUAGAUUAUUUUACCUGCAGAUAGCAGCAAACUCCUAUACAUUGUAGAAUGAGAUCUUAGU